AUACCAUGACGCAGACACUUCCUUAACAACUCCUUGAAUCUCUCCCAUGCAUCAUAGAAUGAUUCCCCUUCAGUCUGAUAGAAAUUAUUGAUCUCCCCUCUCAACUU
This is a small nucleolar RNA of Humulus lupulus (European hop), 107 nucleotides long. Lineage: Eukaryota; Viridiplantae; Streptophyta; Magnoliopsida; Rosales; Cannabaceae. The record is from RefSeq and is a predicted model, not a curated record.